RNAcentral lists this ribosomal RNA (506 nucleotides) under uncultured bacterium. RNAcentral's name for it is "partial 16S ribosomal RNA". It matches the Rfam family "Bacterial small subunit ribosomal RNA", at positions 29 to 523 of the family's 1533-position model. The record is from RNAcentral.
AGUGAACGCUGGCGGUAGGCCUAACACAUGCAAGUCGAACGGCAGCACAGGAGAGCUUGCUCUCUGGGUGGCGAGUGGCGGACGGGUGAGGAAUACAUCGGAAUCUACUCUGUCGUGGGGGAUAACGUAGGGAAACUUACGCUAAUACCGCAUACGACCUACGGGUGAAAGCAGGGGAUCUUCGGACCUUGCGCGAUUGAAUGAGCCGAUGUCGGAUUAGCUAGUUGGCGGGGUAAAGGCCCACCGAGGCGACGAUCCGUAGCUGGUCUGAGAGGAUGAUCAGCCACACUGGAACUGGGACACGGUCCAGACUCCUACGGGAGGCAGCAGUGGGGAAUAUUGGACAAUGGGCGCAAGCCUGAUCCAGCCAUACCGCGUGGGUGAAGAAGGCCUUCGGGUUGUAAAGCCCUUUUGUUGGGAAAGAAAUCCAGCUGGCUAAUACCCGGUUGGGAUGACGGUACCCAAAGAAUAAGCACCGGCUAACUUCGUGCCAGCCGCCGCGGUAA